GAUGAACGCUGGCGGCGUGCCUAAUACAUGCAAGUCGAGCGAACAGAUGAGGAGCUUGCUCCUCUGACGUUAGCGGCGGACGGGUGAGUAACACGUGGAUAACCUACCUAUAAGACUGGGAUAACUUCGGGAAACCGGAGCUAAUACCGGAUAAUAUAUUGAACCGCAUGGUUCAAUAGUGAAAGACGGUUUUGCUGUCACUUAUAGAUGGAUCCGCGCCGCAUUAGCUAGUUGGUAAGGUAACGGCUUACCAAGGCAACGAUGCGUAGCCGACCUGAGAGGGUGAUCGGCCACACUGGAACUAAGACACGGUCCAGACUCCUACGGGAGGCAGCAGUAGGGAAUCUUCCGCAAUGGGCGAAAGCCUGAUGGAGCAACGCCGCGUGAGUGAUGAAGGUCUUCGGAUCGUAAAACUCUGUUAUUAGGGAAGAACAAAUGUGUAAGUAACUAUGCACGUCUUGACGGUACCUAAGCAGAAAGCCACGGCUAACUACGU
This 496-nucleotide ribosomal RNA is filed under the name uncultured bacterium. RNAcentral describes it as "partial 16S ribosomal RNA". It matches the Rfam family "Bacterial small subunit ribosomal RNA", at positions 28 to 506 of the family's 1533-position model. The record is from RNAcentral.